This 86-nucleotide transfer RNA is filed under the name Sphingomonas natans. RNAcentral describes it as "tRNA-Leu". It matches the Rfam family "tRNA". Rfam says of the family: Transfer RNA (tRNA) molecules are approximately 80 nucleotides in length. The record is from RNAcentral. Lineage: Bacteria; Pseudomonadati; Pseudomonadota; Alphaproteobacteria; Sphingomonadales; Sphingomonadaceae.
GUGGACGUGGCGGAAUCGGUAGACGCUGCCGACUUAAAAUCGGUUUCCUGUAAGGAGUGCGGGUUCAAGUCCCGCCGUCCGCACCA